Molecule: long non-coding RNA, 3667 nt
Filed under: Lynx pardinus (Iberian lynx)
Lineage: Eukaryota; Metazoa; Chordata; Mammalia; Carnivora; Felidae
Source: RNAcentral
AGGGAAGACAAUAACUCACAGUGGAAGAGAAGUAUAGAACACAGGGCAGCAAGGUAGGGCUGUGCCCUCCCACAGCACACAGAAUAUGCCCAUGGAUUUGUUAAAAUGUCAAAAGCAGGUGUUUCUUUUUUCUUCAGUCUGAGCUUCAAGCUAACAUGGGCAUUCAGCGUAAUCCCUCCCAGGUGCUAAAACAGUAUGUGGUUCAGGAUUUCAGAGGUAAUUAUUGCUGAAUGCAAUGUAUGGCCAGUGCACCUGCCAGGUAGAUGUUAUGAAAGAAUGUGCCGAGGGGUGCACCGAAAGAAUUUGGGGGACAAUUUCUCCAUCCUACCUUUUAUAAGGCCUAUUAAGGCCAUCAAAAACUAGCCAUGGAGCUAAACAGAUUCACAGUGUGGUUAACAACACAAAAGAUGUAGCAGGAACCAAAAAUCCUAACAAGAUCAAGCAGAGGUUCUAGGUCAGAGAAAAUGCCAGCACUACCCUGAGAAAUUCAAGCUUCGUGGCAGCAGUCCAGUCCUGCAACUGACGCACAGUGAGUUAUCUUGUAGGAAAGUUGAAUAUACAGACAUUUAGAUUUGGAUAUUUAGAUCCUGGCUUAGGCACCCAAGGGAAAUACUUAGUCUGCUUGUCUCAAAUGAAAGGGAGAGAGAGUGGUUCAAUAUGGUCAUUUAUUCCUUGAAAGGUGAGUGUUUCCUGGCAUUGGACAAUGUCCUUGAAACAGAAUAGGGGACAAUCACAGCACAAACAAACCAACCAACCAACCAAAAAAAAAAAACCAUUCAGUUUCCCUGCCCUGAUGGAGCUCAAGAUCCGGUGGGAGAGUCAAAAAUUAAUCAAAUAAUGACCCAGGUUAAUAAAAAAUCACCACUGUGGUAGCUCCAUGAAGGAGAGGUACCAGGUUUUCUGAAAGCUUGGAAGAGGGGGAUUUGAACUAGUUGGGUGGCUUCUCUGAGACACUGAAAACUGGGCUGAGAUAAAAAAUGCGCUUGCUUGUUUGGUGCUUAAUUUGUGCUGGGCACUGCUAACAGCUUUACCACAUUGUGUUGAUUUUCACGCAUCAAAGUUUGGAAGUAGGCAUUAUCCCUCACUGAUCUAGGAAGAGAAUCCCACCGUUAUCUAUCAGCUUAGGAAGAAGCUUCCAUCAUUAUCGAUAACCUAAGGAAGAACAUUCCAUUAAGAUGCCCUAGAAUGGAGGCUCCCUGGGCUUCCUUUUUGUACCUCUGUCACUACCGUCUGGAGCUACUGCAAUAGUCCCAAGUCCUGCACAGGAUACCAGCUCACAUCUCGCAGGGUGAACUUACGUAUUCCCAUUAUGCAGAUUCGAAAAUUUGGCCCAGGGGGUUGGGUAGUGUGCGUGGAGCCAUGUGGCUAGUGAGGUCCAGAGCCUCUAUGAGACGCCAAGCUCCGUGUCUCCAGGCAAAGGAGGAAGUGGGAAUACGUUGGGAUCAGGGGGAACAGCAAGUGUCAAGGCACAUUGGUGCAGAGCUCAAGGGUCUGCUUCUCCUCUCGUACACCCUGGACCAGAAGGACCUGCAGAUCCUCCUAUGGGUCACUCUGUGUUCCCCAGAAGCAGGAUCCAGGCAGUGUUUUAUGCCUUCACAGGCAGGAGAAACGUGUAUCACUGAUGGUGGAGGGGGGAUGCGGUGCUUUGAAACGUGGUCCCUCAAGAUCACCUGUCUUGCUGCUAAAGCUACAAAUAAGUAUGUCCAGAUUCCCGUCUCGAGGAUGAGAUCCCUGUCUCAGGCUUGCUUGCAUGCUGACAGUUCCUCUUGGAAAAGCUUGCAAGCACCUUUUGAAAGUCACCCGACGCGGAAAAGCUCCCAUAUAGCACAAACACAAAAGCUUGAAACCUUGAGGCUUCGCCCACACGGAUUAAAUGAAAUGCUUUCAGUGACUUUGCGGCUACUUAUAAAAAACAAUUUACAUAAACGGAUGUGCUGUUCAAGGAGGGUAGAGAGGGUGGCUUGAAUUUUUUUAAAACUUGCUUUUCCCCUUAGUUUAAUAGCUCCAGAGGCCUCAAAGAAGCAACUGUUUUUAUAAAACGGGCUUGUAAAUUUAUUGAGACAGACUCCAAUUGGCCCUAUUUCAGGCAGCUCUCUGGGGCCUCCCAACAUACAGCGCCUGAGUCCUGGGGCCUCGGAUUGCAAGUUGCUGGAGGAGCCCAUCCUCCACGACUCAGGCUUCCUGCGCCUGAGACGCUUCCGCUUACUCCAGCGUAUUUAACUGCUGCAAGUAUCUGAGGUUUGCCAAAGGUCUAGGCAAGAACUUACAGGUUUUACCCUGCCCAACUCUCAUGAAAAUGGAUCCCAGAACAGAGAUGCCAGCAUCUCACAGCAAUAAUACACACACACGCACGCACACACACACACACACACACACACAAAUGCAUACACAGACACACACACAGACAAAUAUUAGGCUCAUCGUUGUUGCCCAUAUGGAAAAGAUGCUGAAAAUGUACAACUGUUGUUUAAUUAAUGGUUGUGUAUAUUCAUUUUCUCUAGCUUGAUUUUCUUGUAUUUUUGGAAGAGAUGAUAUGGGCGUUUGGUCAAUAUUCCAAACAGAUUACAUGUCUUUUUUUCAAACUUGGACCAGUUCUCCUUUCCUCCCUCCCAUGUCACCCAGUCAGAAAUAUGUGUUCUAAGCGCAGACAUCUACUUCCCAUCCCCUGCCAUGUGCUUUUUUAUACAUUGAGAGCAGCGUGUGGACAUAAUUAUGCACGUUGGCUUUUAUUUAAUACUAUAUCUUUGAGGUAGGCGACCUCAGUAGUGAUGAUGAUGGUGAUGUGACAGCAAACAGACAUGUCUGUGGUACGUGUUCUCAUCCCAACACUGUUCUGAGCUCUUUCUGCGUGAUCCUUACCACAUCCUACGGGACAUGUGCUAGCAUCACCCAGCUGGGGAGAGAGGGAAACGGAGGUAUGGAGCAGUUCAGUGACUUGCCCAAAGUCUCACAGUGGGAAUUGGAAUGUGAUCCGAACUAGACUCCACGCCCCAAACCACAGUGCCACAUUACCUCUCAGGACGAAAUCACUGCCUCUCAUUUAUUCGUUUUGAGAGCCGCAUACUAUUCCUUUGAAUGAAUGAAUCAUGUUAAUGUAGCCUGCCCACUGUUAAUGAUGUCUUGGGUUUUCUUCCUACAUUUUGCUACUGCAAGCAGUGUUUCAAACUUCUGAUAUUUCACUACCUAUCUUUGCACUGGUGCUUUGUGUAUAUGUGCUUUGUGCACGUGUUUGUAAUAUCAAGUAAUCAAGUCAUAAUAGUAGAUCUGCUGGGGUUUGAACACUGACGCUCAUUUUCUUCUUGCUGUGAGGAGACAUGGAGAGGGGCUUAUGGACAUGGGACCUCUGAAGCGUCCCUACUCUCGCAGCCAACUCAAAAUGGUCCCUUCAAAGUGCAAAUGCUCAAUAAACAUUAAAGAAAGACUUCAAUCACAAAAGCUGCCAUGUUUGGGACAAUUACAAUGUAGAACAUAUUUUGAUUCAUCGGAUCUGAUUAAAUUGAUAUGAACCAAUCAAACAUCAUCCUCAUACUGUCGCCCAGGAAGUGGGAUCCCCUGAUUUGAAGUCACCAAAGACAGGAAGCGUCACAGUCCUCUCUGAACUUCAGCUCUUUGGAAUCCAAACCUAUAUACUAUGUGCUCUCAGUCUUACAUCAGCAGGUUCGACCCA